This 83-nucleotide transfer RNA is filed under the name Lentisphaerota bacterium. Its description in RNAcentral is "Lentisphaerae bacterium (invertebrate metagenome) tRNA-Leu". It matches the Rfam family "tRNA". From Rfam's summary of the family: Transfer RNA (tRNA) molecules are approximately 80 nucleotides in length. Lineage: Bacteria; Pseudomonadati; Lentisphaerota. RNAcentral also lists the same sequence under 2 other names. The record is from RNAcentral.
GCGCGGGUGGCGAAAUUGGCAGACGCGCCAGAUUUAGGAUCUGGUUCUUAGGAGUGCGGGUUCGAGUCCCGCCCCGCGCACCA